Molecule: long non-coding RNA, 524 nt
Organism: Aethalodelphis obliquidens (Pacific white-sided dolphin)
Lineage: Eukaryota; Metazoa; Chordata; Mammalia; Artiodactyla; Delphinidae
Exons: 2
Source: RefSeq, a predicted model, not a curated record
CACAACGAAGAUCCCACAUGAUGCAACUGGGACCCGGCACAGCCAAAAUGAAUAAGUACAUUUUUUUUAAAAAAAAAAAAGGAAAAUGUAGGUACAGAUGUAAGUAGGUGGGGAGAUAUGACUGUAGAAGCUUGUGAAAGUUCUGAGUGUUUCUAUUUUCUCAGUGAAACAGAAAAGGUCAUCUUCUGAAAAUGAGGAUGAAAGAAGAGGCAUUGGAGCUUUGAAGAAAGAGGAUAUGGCAUGAAAUAGAAUUUAAUAAAGACAAAAAUCGUGUGGUUGCUGGGCAGCAAAAAGGGAUCCCUAGAGAUCAACCGAGCAGCUUUUGGGAUCUUAGUUCCACGACCAGGAAUCAAACCCAGGACCCCUGCAGUGGAAGCUCAGAGUCCUAACCACUGGACAACCAGGGAAUUCCCUGCACUUUCUUAUUGACUAAUGAUGCCAAGCAACGUUUCAUGUACUUAAUUGGCAUUUCUGUAUACCUUCCUUGCAGAAAUUUCUAUUUAAAUCCUUUGCCUAUUUCUCAA